GCAAAUUAAAAGGCAAAAUAUCUUCAGUUAAAUUUCUAGUUAAAGUGGAAAUGUUGGCAGAAUUUAAAAGAGUGCUAGUUGCCAAAGCCUGACUGCGCUAUCAACAAAAACGUGUGAAAUAUCUUCCUGUUCUGCCCUUGAUGUUAAUUCUGGUAGCAUCUGCAUUCUGGGGAGAGGCCUGGAGCUCAGCUUAAAUGCUGGUAAAGAGGCCGUCAAUGCUCAGUUUUAAAAUAUAUUUAUCAAGCAUUUUAUUUGGCUCACUACACUUUCUGUAAGUUAAUACUUCUAAUGGUGACAGUCUCCUUAGCUGUCACAUAACCACGUGUACCUCUGCAUGUGCUGUUGAUAUUUUGCUGAUUUGUGUAGGCCUGUGUCAGAGCUUGUUUUGGGAGAGGAGCUGGUGGACAGCGCUGUUUUGCACUGGUGGAGGGAAAGAACUGGAUGGAUGUGUAAAGCAACUGAUGGAAAAAUGGUAAAGAUGCAAAUGCAGUGAUCCCAGUGAUCACUCUAGGUCUACUUUUCUGCCUUCCUUUCCAAACCAUUAAAUGGCAGAGGAAAAUAUGUUCUGGGAGCCAGAAGUGUAGCUGGAGAAGAGGGUUUCACAGGGGAACUGUCACUUCAGUUUUACAUAGCUGGACUCUCACCUCCAGAGCAAGCAACAUGGUGCGUCCACUUUGCUGUCCCUGGCAUGUGUUACACAGAGUCACAGAAUCAUAGAAUGCUGUUGUUUGUUAUCUUUGUUAUCCCCAGCGCAGUUUUGGCUCAUCUUCUGCGGCUGUAAUCUGUAAUUUUGACUAAUGACUGACCACUAGUAAGUAGCACGGUUCAGUUUAUAACCUUUGGGUCUUGGUUAGCAAUCUAUGAUCGUACAUAGAGGGCUCCCGCUAUUAUCCCACAUCUGUAUUCACCUACAUUGUGCUUUAUGCUGCAGUCAAAUGUAGUUCAUUC
RNAcentral lists this long non-coding RNA (948 nucleotides) under Gallus gallus (chicken). RNAcentral describes it as "lncRNA (ENSGALG00010004621.1)". The record is from RNAcentral. Lineage: Eukaryota; Metazoa; Chordata; Aves; Galliformes; Phasianidae.